ACCCAGCUGACGAGUCUCAAAUAGAACGGAACGCGAGUCCUCGAU
Non-coding RNA from Schistosoma curassoni, 45 nucleotides. The record is from Rfam. NCBI's taxonomy places the organism in Eukaryota, Metazoa, Platyhelminthes, Trematoda, Strigeidida, Schistosomatidae.